RNAcentral lists this ribosomal RNA (423 nucleotides) under uncultured bacterium. RNAcentral's name for it is "bacterial SSU rRNA". It matches the Rfam family "Bacterial small subunit ribosomal RNA", at positions 29 to 448 of the family's 1533-position model. The record is from RNAcentral.
AGUGAACGCUGGCGGCAGGCCUAAUACAUGCAAGUCGAACGGCAGCACAGCAGAGCUUGCUCUGUGGGUGGCGAGUGGCGGACGGGUGAGGAAUACAUGGGAAUCUGCCCAGUCGUGGGGGAUAACGUAGGGAAACUUACGCUAAUACCGCAUGCGCCCUUCGGGGAAAGCCGGGGACCUUCGGGCCUGGCGCGAUUGGAUGAGCCCAUGUCGGAUUAGCUAGUUGGCGGGGUAAUGGCCCACCAAGGCGACGAUCCGUAGCUGGUCUGAGAGGAUGAUCAGCCACACUGGAACUGAGACACGGUCCAGACUCCUACGGGAGGCAGCAGUAGGGAAUAUUGGACAAUGGGCGCAAGCCUGAUCCAGCCAUGCCGCGUGAGUGAAGAAGGCCCUCGGGUUGUAAAGCUCUUUUGUCCGGUAAAG